This 524-nucleotide ribosomal RNA is filed under the name uncultured bacterium. Its description in RNAcentral is "partial 16S ribosomal RNA". It matches the Rfam family "Bacterial small subunit ribosomal RNA", at positions 28 to 523 of the family's 1533-position model. The record is from RNAcentral.
GACGAACGCUGGCGGCGUGCCUAAUACAUGCAAGUCGAACGCUUCUUUCCUCCCGAGUGCUUGCACUCAAUUGGAAAGAGGAGUGGCGGACGGGUGAGUAACACGUGGGUAACCUACCCAUCAGAGGGGGAUAACACUUGGAAACAGGUGCUAAUACCGCAUAACAGUUUAUGCCGCAUGGCAUAAGAGUGAAAGGCGCUUUCGGGUGUCGCUGAUGGAUGGACCCGCGGUUCAUUAGCUAGUUGGUGAGGUAACGGGUCACCAAGGCCACGAUGCAUAGCCGACCUGAGAGGGUGAUCGGCCACACUGGGACUGAGACACGGCCCAGACUCAUACGGGAGGCAGCAGUAUGGAAUCUUCGGCAAUGGACGGAAGUCUGACCGAGCAACGCCGCGUGAGUGAAGAAGGUUUUCGGAUCGUAAAACUCUGUUGUUAGAGAAGAACAAGGACGUUAGUAACUGAACGUCCCCUGACGGUAUCUAACCAGAAAGCCACGGCUAACUACGUGCCAGCCGCCGCCGUAA